CCCCUAGUAACUGCGAGUGAAGCGGGAAAAGCUCAAAUUUAAAAUCUGGCAGUCUUUGGCUGUCCGAGUUGUAAUCUAGAGAAGBGUUAUCCGCGCUGGACCGUGUACAAGUCUCCUGGAAUGGAGCGUCAUAGAGGGUGAGAAUCCCGUCUUUGACACGGACUACCAGGGCUUUGUGAUGCGCUCUCAAAGAGUCGAGUUGUUUGGGAAUGCAGCUCAAAAUGGGUGGUAAAUUCCAUCUAAAGCUAAAUAUUGGCGAGAGACCGAUAGCGAACAAGUACCGUGAGGGAAAGAUGAAAAGAACUUUGGAAAGAGAGUUAAACAGUACGUGAAAUUGCUGAAAGGGAAACGCUUGAAGUCAGUCGCGUUGUCCAGGGAUCAACCUUGCUUUUGCUUGGUGCACUUUCUGGUUGACGGGUCAGCAUCAAUUUUGACUAUUGGAAAAAGAUCAGGGGAAUGUGGCAUCUUUGGAUGUGUUAUAGCCCUUGGUUGCAUACAAUGGUUGGGAUUGAGGAACUCAGCACGCCGCAAGGCCGGGUUUUUAACCACGUACGUGCUUAGGAUGCUGGCAUAAUGGCUUUAAUCGACCCGUCUUGAAACACGGACCAAGGAGUCUAACAUGCCUGCGAGUGUUUGGGUGGAAAACCCGAGCGCGUAAUGAAAGUGAAAGUUGAGAUCCCUGUCGUGGGGAGCAUCGACGCCCGGACCAGACCUUUUGUGACGGUUCCGCGGUAGAGCAUGUAUGUUGGGACCCGAAAGAUGGUGAACUAUGCCUGAAUAGGGUGAAGCCAGAGGAAACUCUGGUGGAGGCUCGUAGCGAUUCUGACGUGCA
This 832-nucleotide ribosomal RNA is filed under the name Cortinarius aff. austrosanguineus 3 FS-2012. Its description in RNAcentral is "eukaryotic LSU rRNA". It matches the Rfam family "Eukaryotic large subunit ribosomal RNA", at positions 77 to 895 of the family's 3401-position model. Lineage: Eukaryota; Fungi; Basidiomycota; Agaricomycetes; Agaricales; Cortinariaceae. The record is from RNAcentral.